RNAcentral lists this ribosomal RNA (253 nucleotides) under uncultured bacterium. RNAcentral describes it as "partial 16S ribosomal RNA". It matches the Rfam family "Bacterial small subunit ribosomal RNA", at positions 524 to 776 of the family's 1533-position model. The record is from RNAcentral.
UACAGAGGUCUCAAGCGUUGUUCGGAUUCAUUGGGCGUAAAGGGUGCGUAGGUGGCGCUGUAAGUCGGGUGUGAAAUCCUGGAGCUCAACUCCAGAACUGCCUUUGAUACUGAAGAUCUCGAGUCCGGGAGAGGUGAGUGGAACUGCGAGUGUAGAGGUGAAAUUCGUAGAUAUUCGCAAGAACACCAGUGGCGAAGGCGGCUCACUGGCCCGGUACUGACGCUGAGGCACGAAAGCGUGGGGAGCAAACAGG